UGUUUGUGCUGAUAAACGCUUCGUUUGUGCUGCUUCGGAUUUGGAGAUAUUAAAAGAAUAUUUAUAGGUCAUUCUGGGGUCGUUUGUGCUGCUUCCGUUUAUAAAAUAUUAGGCAUUAAGUUCUAUGAGCUUACGUCACCAGCCCCACACAUGCUCAAAUUAACCCGAAAUGGCCUCAAUCGUUUGUGCCGGUUUUUGCCGACUGUCUUACUUUAACACAGUUGAAGUAACAAGGUCCUCAUUCUCUGCAUCUGGAAUGACUACACACCCUUCUGCAAUUCAGGCUUUCAGUCCCACUGGCAGAUCAUCUUGAUGCAGUGUGCAACAUCAACCUGAACAAAACAAGGUGGCACUUGUUAACACUUUACCAAGUAAGACAACACUCAUUGAUGUAGGUCUUCAGAUCAGGAUGAGGAGUAAAUGCCUUGACCAGAGCUCUAAGCAAAGCCAGAGAAAAGUCACUCACAACCUCUUUUGGAAUUGGUGCACCUGCACGUAUCCAUUCUGUAAGCCAAUGUGUUAUUGCAUUAACAUCGUGUCUCUCUGACAGCAUUUGCACCACUGGGACACUUGAAUUCUCAUCCCCUGCCAGAACACCCUGAUAAGAUAUGGCCAGACAUGCCAUUAGGUCUCAGUUUCCUCACCACUGAGCCAGUUGCAUCAAAACUCAGUGGGGUUAGUAGACUUCUUUGAUAAUGACUUGCUGAGUGACCCCAGAAUGACCUUUGGAAUAUCCUUUUAAUACCCCCUGAACCAUUGCAGCACAAAUUAAACUUUUUACAGCACAAACAUUGCUGCUUGGUUCUUGCCUGCUGCUGUUUGGUUAUGUGUUGGUUACUAUCACU
Molecule: long non-coding RNA, 845 nt
Organism: Ictalurus punctatus (channel catfish)
Lineage: Eukaryota; Metazoa; Chordata; Actinopteri; Siluriformes; Ictaluridae
Source: Ensembl